RNAcentral lists this ribosomal RNA (253 nucleotides) under uncultured bacterium. Its description in RNAcentral is "partial 16S ribosomal RNA". It matches the Rfam family "Bacterial small subunit ribosomal RNA", at positions 524 to 776 of the family's 1533-position model. The record is from RNAcentral.
UACGAAGGGGGCAAGCGUUGUUCGGAAUUACUGGGCGUAAAGGGCGCGUAGGUGGCGCUGUAAGUCGGGUGUGAAAUUUCGGAGCUUAACUCCGAAACUGCAUUCGAUACUGCGGUGCUUGAGGACUGGAGAGGAGACUGGAAUUCAUGGUGUAGCAGUGAAAUGCGUAGAGAUCAUGAGGAAGACCAGUGGCGAAGGCGGGUCUCUGGACAGUUCCUGACACUGAGGCACGAAGGCCAGGGGAGCAAACGGG